AAGUCGUAACAAGGUUUCCGUAGGUGAACCUGCGGAAGGAUCAUUCACGAAGAAGAAUUUCUUCUUUUUAUUUGUGCACUGUUACCUGCUAUUUGGCGGCUUCACCGUCGUCAGAUGGCAUCAUUUUUUAUCAACUUAACUCUUACUUUUACAUGCCCGAUAAGUUAUACAUAACUUUUAGCAAUGGAUCUCUAGGCUCUC
This 201-nucleotide unclassified non-coding RNA is filed under the name fungal sp. RNAcentral's name for it is "partial internal transcribed spacer region". The stretch from base 1 to 46 matches the Rfam family "Eukaryotic small subunit ribosomal RNA", at positions 1786 to 1831 of the family's 1831-position model. Lineage: Eukaryota; Fungi. The record is from RNAcentral.